This 629-nucleotide ribosomal RNA is filed under the name Gymnascella littoralis. RNAcentral describes it as "eukaryotic LSU rRNA". It matches the Rfam family "Eukaryotic large subunit ribosomal RNA", at positions 1 to 661 of the family's 3401-position model. The record is from RNAcentral. Lineage: Eukaryota; Fungi; Ascomycota; Eurotiomycetes; Onygenales; Gymnoascaceae.
UCUAGGCCCCGUCAGGAGCCCGAGUUGUAAUUUGGAGAGGACACUUCGGGGGGGGAUUGCCUCAGUAACGGCGAGUGAAGCGGCAAAAGCUCAAAUUUGAAAUCUGGCCCUUUCGGGGUCCGAGUUGUAAUUUGCAGAGGAUGCUUCGGGAGCGGCGGCGGUCUAAGUCCCCUGGAACGGGGCGUCAUAGAGGGUGAGAAUCCCGUCUUGGACCGCAUGCCCGUGACCGUGUGAAGCUCCUUCGACGAGUCGAGUUGUUUGGGAAUGCAGCUCAAAAUGGGUGGUAAAUUUCAUCUAAAGCUAAAUACUGGCUGGAGACCGAUAGCGCACAAGUAGAGUGAUCGAAAGGUUAAAAGCACCUUGAAAAGGGAGUUAAAUAGCACGUGAAAUUGUUGAAAGGGAAGCGCUUGCAACCAGACUCGGCCGCAGAGGCUCAGUGGGCACGUGUGCCCAUGCACUCCUCUGUGGUCGGGCCAGCAUCAGUUCUGACGGCCGGUCAAAGGCCCCCGGAAUGUAUCCUCCUCCAGGAGGUCUUAUAGCCGGGGGUGCAAUGCGGUCAGUCGGGACUGAGGAACGCGCUUCGGCACGGAUGCUGGCGUAAUGGUUGUAAGCGACCCCGUCUUGAAACC